UACGUAGGGUGCGAGCGUUAAUCGGAAUUACUGGGCGUAAAGCGUGCGCAGGCGGCUUUGCAAGACAGAUGUGAAAUCCCCGGGCUUAACCCGGGAACUGCAUUUGUGACUGCAUGGCUGGAGUGCGGCAGAGGGGGAUGGAAUUCCGCGUGUAGCAGUGAAAUGCGUAGAUAUGCGGAGGAACACCGAUGGCGAAGGCAAUCCCCUGGGCCUGCACUGACGCUCAUGCACGAAAGCGUGGGGAGCAAACAGG
Molecule: ribosomal RNA, 253 nt
Filed under: uncultured bacterium
Lineage: Bacteria
Description: partial 16S ribosomal RNA
Rfam family: Bacterial small subunit ribosomal RNA
Source: RNAcentral